GACUCUCGGCAACGGAUAUCUCGGCUCACGCAUCGAUGAAGAACGUAGCAAAAUGCGAUACUUGGUGUGAAUUGCAGAAUCCCGUGAACCAUCGAGUUUUUGAACGCAAGUUGCGCCCGAAGCCUUUCGGACGAGGGCACGUCUGCCUGGGCGUCACAC
Molecule: ribosomal RNA, 159 nt
Filed under: Sinosenecio euosmus
Lineage: Eukaryota; Viridiplantae; Streptophyta; Magnoliopsida; Asterales; Asteraceae
Description: 5.8S ribosomal RNA
Rfam family: 5.8S ribosomal RNA
About the family: 5.8S ribosomal RNA (5.8S rRNA) is a component of the large subunit of the eukaryotic ribosome. It is transcribed by RNA polymerase I as part of the 45S precursor that also contains 18S and 28S rRNA.
Source: RNAcentral